CAUCUUUUUCAUUGAGCUUACCUUACCAGAAAAGUAUUCUGUUGUCACAAAGGUCAUCCACUCUCCUUCCCUUCCCUUCCCUUCCCUUCCCUUCCCUUCCCUUCCCUUCCCUUCCCUUCCCUUCCCUUCCCUUCCCUUCCCUUCCCUUCCCUUCCCUUCCCUUCCCUUCCCUUCCCUUCCCUUCCCUUCCCUUCCCUUCCCUUCCCUUCCCUUCCUUCCUUCCUUCCUUCCCUCUUUUCUUUCUUUUUCUACUUUGUCUUCUUUCUUUCCAGGAUUAAAAGGCAAAACAUGACUGCAGACAUCGCACCCACCCUACUGGAGUACCCUAUGUUUUGUACUUCGCAGCUCAAUGCACAGCUUGUAAUCAUUAGAAAACUAUGGGGCAUCUUCUGGGUGAUUAUUAGAGGGAACUACAUUCUGGCAGCCUGUGAAAGCCAGGAUGUGGCAGAUCUGUCCAGUUCUGUUGGAAAUGAACAUUUGGACAUGGAGGCUCUGCAUGGAAGGUGGAUGCAGAUAGAUGCCUCGCGGAGAAAAGUACCUCUGGGAUUUGCCGAAACAUUCACAAGAUGCUAAUUUGUCAUAAUCCCAGCUCCCACAAAGCAAAGAAAUGAGGGAAGAUAUAGCAGCAGACUGACAACUGCUCAUCUUGAUGACUACCAGCACUCUGGAACUGAACCUGCAAGACCUCAGUUGUCCUAUUUGUUGUCUGCAAAUAACUGUGAAACUCCCAGCUGGAAUGGGUGUCUCCGCCUGCCCUUUCCUUUAACCGGUGUCUGGUCUAUGAAGAAAAGAGCAGCUUAUUUAACACAGUAAAUAUACAGUGCAGAUCCUUAUUACUUGGUUGAAGCUAGUAACUCUUCCAUGGCACUCGAAAUGUGUGACAAAUACAAAUCUGUGUGACAAAGGUUUUUUUUCCAUUUUUUUAUGGAAAAGAUUUGGUUUUGUGUUUUGGCUCCUUGGAGGCUGCAGGGCUUAAACAGGACAGGGCAAGGCACGGGGUGGGACUGAUACA
This 1012-nucleotide long non-coding RNA is filed under the name Calidris pugnax (ruff). Its description in RNAcentral is "lncRNA (ENSCPUG00000002201.1)". The record is from RNAcentral. Lineage: Eukaryota; Metazoa; Chordata; Aves; Charadriiformes; Scolopacidae.